AAACUUUCAACAAUGGAUCUCUUGGUUCUGGCAUCGAUGAAGAACGCAGCGAAAUGCGAUAAGUAAUGUGAAUUGCAGAAUUCAGUGAAUCAUCGAAUCUUUGAACGCACAUUGCGCCCCUUGGUAUUCCGAGGGGCAUGCCUGUUCGAGCGUCAUU
Molecule: ribosomal RNA, 157 nt
Filed under: uncultured fungus
Lineage: Eukaryota; Fungi
Description: 5.8S ribosomal RNA
Rfam family: 5.8S ribosomal RNA
About the family: 5.8S ribosomal RNA (5.8S rRNA) is a component of the large subunit of the eukaryotic ribosome. It is transcribed by RNA polymerase I as part of the 45S precursor that also contains 18S and 28S rRNA.
Source: RNAcentral